GAAAGUUACUCAAGAGCAUAGAAUGGAUGCCUUGACACCAAAUUCCGAUGAAGGACGUAGCAAGCUGCGAUAAGCUUCGGUGAGCCGCUAAGCAGGCUUUGACCCGGAGAUUUCCGAAUGGGGCAACCCCGUCAGAGUAAUGUCUGAUGAUCCCGCAAGGGAAGGCAACCUGGAGAACUGAAACAUCUAAGUACCCAGGGAAAAGAAAUCAAUAGAGAUUCCCGUAGUAGUGGCGAGCGAACCGGGAACAGCCCAAACCAUCUGCAUGUAAGGUUGCAGCCGUUGUGCAGGUGGUGUUGCAAGAAUUGUCUUUCGGAAACUGCUUUUUCCGACAAUAUAUUAAUCUGAUAAGUGAAGGAGCCUGGAACGGACAACCAUAGAGGGUGAGAGUCCCGUAACAUAAAUCAGUUUAAUACUUUGUGACAGUCUCUUAAGUAGGGUCGGACACGUGCAAUCCGGCUUGAAGCUGGGAAGACCACUUUCCAAGGCUAAAUAGAUUUGGUGAUCGAUAGUGAACAAGUACCGCGAGGGAAAGGUGAAAAGCACCCCGGCGAGGGGGAUGAAAUAGUAUCUGAAAUUCUUUGCUUACAAGGAGUAGGAGCCCUUCGGGGUGACUGCGUACUUAUUGGAGAACGGACCAUCGAGUUAGCUGUAUGGCGCGUCAGGCUAAGGGAGUUAUACCCGGAGCCGAAGUGAAAGCGAGCCUGAAUAGGGCGAUUUGUGUCAUGCACUAGACCCGAAACCGGGUGAUCUACCCAUGGGCAGGAUGAAGUCCUACGAGAGUGGGAUGGAGGUCCGAACACACGGAUGUUGCAAGAUCCGGUGAUGACCUGUGGGUAGGGGAGAAAUUCCAAUCGAACCCGGAGAUAGCUGGUUCUCCCUGAUAUAGUUUUUGGACUAGCCUUACGUGAAAGUUAGUGGGGGUAGAGCUCUGUUUAGACUAGGGGGCGUAUAUAGUCUACCAAAUCUAGACAAACUUCGAAUACCAUUGACCUCUUUCGUAGGAGUCGGACGAUGACAGCUAAGUGCCAUCGUCGUGAGGGGAACAGCCCAGACCGUCGUCUAAGGUCCCCANNNNNNNNNNNNNNNNNNNNNNNNNNNNNNNNNNNNNNNNNCUGCGCCGAAAAUUCAACGGGGCUUAAGUUUGUAACCGAAGACACGGGUUUUUAACACUAGUUAAAAGCGGUAAGGGAGCGUUCUUAUUGCAGUGAAGCCGGCCUGUGAAGUCCGGUGGAGCGGUAAGAAGUGAAAAUGAUGGUAUGAGUAACGUUUUAUGUUUCAUGAAAAAUGAGACCACCGAAAACCCAAGGUUUCCCAAGCAACGUUAAUCGACUUGGGGUUAGUCGGUCCUAAGGUGAGGCCGAAAGGNNAACAGGUUAAUAUUCCUGUACAGCCUGUUUUUCGCCCAAGCAAAGUGUUUCAAAUUGAAAGAUGUAUAUUUGCGACUUCGGUCAAAGAUAUAAGGAAUUCGAAGAGAGACAUGGCGCUAACUCAGGGAAGACGCAUCAGGUUAACAUGAGCGUGUUAAUGAAUUCACGUGCAAGCAGUAAGUUUAUGCUCUGGCAGGCAAAUCCGUCAGAGUUCGCGAGCUGUGAUGCAAAAUACUCUGCUUCGGCAGGGCGAUUCAUGUGAUAUCAGGUGCCAAGAAAAUUCUCGGUAGUGAGAAAAGCAGGUUUCCGUACCGCAAACCAACGCUGGUGGGUAGGUAGAGUAUACUAAGGUGAUCGAGAUAACUAACGUUAAGGAACUCGGCAAUACAGCAGGCGUAACUUCGGGAUAAGCCUUGCCAAUAUUUUAUGUUGGCCGCAGUAAAUGACUUCAUGCGACUGUUUAUCAAAAACACAGGUGUCUGCAAAUUCGAAAGAAUAAGUAUAGGCGCUGAGGCCUGCCCAGUGCCAGAAGGUCACGAGGAGGGGUGCAAGCUCUGAAUCCAAGCCCUGGUGAACGGCGGCCGUAACUAUAACGGUCCUAAGGUAGCGAAAUUCCUUGUCGGGUAAGUUCCGACCCGCACGAAUGGCUUAACGGUGUGAAGACUGUCUCAACGUUAGACUCGGUGAAAUUACAGAGUCGGUAAAAAUGCCGAUUAAACAUGGUAGGGCGAAAAGACCCCGUGAAGCUUUACUACAGCUUGGCAUUGAGCCGAGAUAUAGCUUGUGCAGUAUAGAUGGGACGCUUUGAAGGGUGGACGUCAGUUCACUUGGAGCGGUCGUUGAGAUACCAUCCUGGCUAUAUUUUGUCUCUAACCUCUGGUUUUAAACGAUCAGGGGGACAUUGCUUGGUGGGUAGUUUGACUGGGGCGGUUGCCUCCUAAAAUGUAACGGAGGCGCGCAAUGGUUCUCUAGACUUGGAUGGAAAUCAAGUCGUUAGUGUAAUCGCAUAAGAGAGCUUAACUGCAAGACGAACAUGUCGAGCAGAUACGAAAGUAGGCGAUAAUGAUCCGAUAGUUCCACGUGGGUGGGCUAUCGCUCAUCGGACAAAAGUUACUCCGGGGAUAACAGGCUGAUCACGCCCAAGAGUUCACAUCGACGGCGUGGUUUGGCACCUCGAUGUCGGCUCGUCGCAUCCUGGGGCUGGAGAAGGUCCCAAGGGNNUUAAAGCGGUACGCGAGCUGGGUUCAGACCGUCGUGAGACAGGUCGGCCUCUACCCUCCAUGUUCGUAGGAAAAUUGAAGGAAGUUGCCCCUAGUACGAGAGGACCGGGGUGAACGAACCUCUAGUGUAUCUGUUGUCACGUCAGUGGCACGGCAGAGUAGCUAUGUUCGGACGGGAUAACCGCUGAAAGCAUCUAAGUGGGAAGCCUCUCCUAAGAUAAAUUUUCCCAAUUAUCCUCCCGGGAGACUACCGGGUAUAUAGGGUUCAGGUGUAAGCGCAGUGAUGUGUUGAGCCGAGAAUUCCUAACAGGAGAUCGACUUUUUAUG
Molecule: ribosomal RNA, 2917 nt
Filed under: Candidatus Peregrinibacteria bacterium UBA1369
Lineage: Bacteria; Candidatus Peregrinibacteriota
Description: bacterial LSU rRNA
Rfam family: Bacterial large subunit ribosomal RNA
Source: RNAcentral